CCUCCCCCCCCCCCCCCCCCCCCCCCCCGCGCACCCUAACCCAGAAGCCUAAACAAAAGAAAAAGAAAAACUCUUUCAGAACAGAUCGUCGAGAACACGAGAACAGUUCCAAUCGGUAAAAUUGGAGAAUCGAAUAUUUACAGAAUUCUAGUUUGGAAGCUCUCUUUAGGUUUCCAUCUCUUCUCUCAUCAAGGUAUCAUAGUAUUUUUGUUGCCAAGAGCAAAAUUGAGUUACAAGCUUACAAAUUAGAGGCAGGGGCGGAGCCACCUUAGGGGAAACAGUGUCACGGGUCACCGCUUCGUCGAAAUUUUUCACUGUGCAUAUAUGAAAUUCAUAUUUCCUGGAUAGCUAAGUGAACCAAUAGAUGAAUCUCCAUUUUCAUAUCUUUCUCGGAACAUCCAGCAAUUGCUAGCUCACUGGUCGGGCACUUCGCUUUUCUGGUUAAGAUUGACUUGAAUCCGUCAAAAUCUCAAAAGUAUGAUAUGGAAUCAACUUUGAAGGCUGCGAAACAUUCAUUCAUUCCACCUGGUGCCUUAGCAAGAGGACAAGGGAAAAGCUUUAGAGCUUUGAGUUUAGUAAGAGUAAAUGCUGAACAAAGACCUCCGAUUGGCCAAAGUAAAAAGUGUAAUAGAGCAACUUCUUAUCUGAAUGAGCUAGCUCAGAAUGAGAGUCUUGCACGCUCCUGGUUUUGAUCCAUAGGAAGACUAUGUUUCCCCUCUCAAGAAGCUGAACUGAUGCAAAUACUCAGAGAAACGAAAUAAGUCCAUGUGAACCUUAAAAGGCAAAAAAUGUGAGAGUGUCGAUCAGGUGCAGGACUCAAAGCUGGAGUAAUGUUAAGCGUCACUUUUUACCACAAUCGAAUUGUUGGAAGCAUCAUGCCUCAGCGAGACACUUAGCUAUAUUAGUUAAUGAUGGUAAUAUGUGUCCAUUGCGCGUACAUUAAUGGGCGGACAUUGAGGAUUAUAAGCUGGAUCACAUGUGGGCAGCUGUGACUAUAAGGAUUUAAAACAUGAGUUUUUUGUUUUGCCUUCUCAUUUUAUUCUUUUACAAAUGAAAACGAAAUACUUGUGAGCUUAUAUCAUUGUAUUUGCUGAGUUAUUUUCUGUUUGAUUUGUUAGAAUCUGUAAAGAAAAUAGUUGAUAUGCUAUAUUGGACUUGUGAAAAUCAGUGUUAUUAAAAGCGCUAGCUUCGUCGCCUAAAGCAUUGAGGUAAGGCGACUGGCUUGUGCUUCAGAAGGCUGAGGCGACGCUGGUAGAAAGAAGGGACUCUUCUCCUCAAGAAGAUCGAAGUGGAAGAGAAGCGAGAAAUAUGCGCUUCGUUUAUUUUAAUAAAAAGUUGACUUUAAACAGAAAAGGAUUCAACUUUCUUACUAGUUUUGCUGCUCUCUUCCUUGGUCUGGUUUCUAUACUUCAAGCUACAGGUAUGAUUAUUUCUUCUUCUUCCCCUUCUCCUCUUCUCUUCUUCGUCUCGUCUCUGAUAUCGUCGCUGCUGCUGUUUUUUUUUUCUUUCUCUUCUUUUCUUUUACCUUAUGUCGCUGCUACUACAACGUUUUUUCUCCUCUUCUUCUUUUCUCUUUUCUGAUAUCACUGCUGCUGCUGCUUUUUUUUCUUUCUCUUUUAUUCUCUGAUCUAAUAUCGCUGCUACUGCAAUAUGAGCAUCAUGGUGACAGAUGCAAGGUUCAAUAUUUUUGCCGAUAUAUAUUAGAAUACUUGUCCAUGAUGCAACUUCUAUGUUGACAUUUAAUUCUUUUUAUUUUGAGAAUUUGUAGCCUGUUAGUUGGAUAGUAGUGCAUCCACUAUACUGGCUAUCAAAGAUGUGAAGAUAGCUUGUUCUCUGCAUUGAAUUUGAGUUCCAUUAUAUUCUCAUGAAGUAAGCUCAUCUCUUAUCCCUAUUUGUACGGUGUAUUUUGGCAUAAGCAGGACUUGAGGAUUAUGUUACCAAUAUAUAAUAAUGGAGGUAAAUCAUGAUCGUAGAAAAUUCUUAUGCUAUUGGUACUCCGUCUGCAUUACUGCAUUUUGGAUCAUAGUACAUAGUUGGUACUAAUUCCUAAUAUUGUGGUCUUCUCUUUUUUUCUUUCAUAAGUUUAGUCUUUGCUAAUAAACUGACAUAAAUUUGAAACUUUUAAUAGGUCAAGAAUUUGAAGACUGAGAUAAGUUUGGUGGUGACAUGUUUUUUUAAGGUUAUUCUAUAAUUAGUUACUUCUUAGUGUUUCUGUUUUCUACUUUAAGUGGCUCUUGUUAUUAAAUCUCAUCCAUAGAGAUUAGAAUAGUCUACACUUUACAUAAAGUGUGUUGUUUCAUCUUAUUUGUUGUGUCAUCUGCUUGAGCAUGCCUCUACUUUUAUUAUUUCAAAUUUAUUUUCUGGAUACAAAAGUAAUUCAUCCUUUGGCAUGUAUAUAACACAUCCAUUUGUAAUUUUUUCAGAUUUGGAAAACUGGAAAAUGAUGUCCGGUAUCAUUCAAUUUAUACCAGAUCAAGAUUUACAAUAUACAAGCUGGAUUCUAAAGAACUGGCCUGCUACCCUUGAAGAAAGUGCAGAACAAUUGAAGCAAUCUACUUUGGUUUUGUUACAAUCUGUUUAGAAAUGUCACAUUUGUAAAAGCUAUAAUUUUAUUCUCUUUUGUUUGGAGUUGGCAAAUAUAAUGUCAUGUAAUCGGAAUGUGUAUAUUUUUAUAUAUUUUUUUUAGUAAUGUGAUGAUUUUUUUUUCAA
Lycium barbarum (goji berry) is the source of this 2709-nucleotide long non-coding RNA. RefSeq lists it as uncharacterized. The record is from RefSeq and is a predicted model, not a curated record. NCBI's taxonomy places the organism in Eukaryota, Viridiplantae, Streptophyta, Magnoliopsida, Solanales, Solanaceae. The transcript is spliced from 5 exons.